RNAcentral lists this ribosomal RNA (687 nucleotides) under uncultured fungus. Its description in RNAcentral is "eukaryotic LSU rRNA". The stretch from base 227 to 380 matches the Rfam family "5.8S ribosomal RNA". The record is from RNAcentral. Lineage: Eukaryota; Fungi.
GGAAGUAAAAGUCGUAACAAGGUUUCCGUAGGUGAACCUGCGGAAGGAUCAUUACCAAAUGAGCGCGUGUCACUGUUGUAGACACCGCUGACACUGUGCGCCUUCUUGUAGUAGACCGACAAUUCAAUAGUCUGCCAUUGUGGUGGUGGGCCUUUGGUCUCCUACGUCUUCUUUUCUCACCACACGAAACCUGACAUUGUAUGUUGUGCUUGAACACAUAUAAUAUAACUUUCAACAACGGAUCUCUUGGCUCUCGCAUCGAUGAAGAACGCAGCGAAAUGCGAUAAGUAAUGUGAAUUGCAGAAUUCAGUGAAUCAUCGAAUCUUUGAACGCACCUUGCGCUCCCUGGCAUUCCGAGGAGCAUGCCUGUUUGAGCGUCAUUGAACUCUCAGCAUCCUACCCGAUCUGUUGUUGUGACAAUUGCAUUGCAUUGAUCGGGGGGAGGUAGGCAGCUACUUCCCGUCACCUGGCUUCUGGAUUGUGGAGGAUGCAAUGCUGCCCCCAAUUGGGGCCUCCUUUGCUUCUCUGAAAUGGAGUGCCGUUACGACUGUAACGUUGGGCCCGAACCUGGCACCGGUAUGAUACACUCUUCUUACCUGUGUCUGGUCCAUUUGAGCCGUGUCCAAUAUUUGACCUCAAAUCAGGCAGGACUACCCGCUGAACUUAAGCAUAUCAAUAAGCGGAGGA